Molecule: ribosomal RNA, 927 nt
Filed under: Triticum aestivum (bread wheat)
Lineage: Eukaryota; Viridiplantae; Streptophyta; Magnoliopsida; Poales; Poaceae
Description: partial small subunit ribosomal RNA
Source: RNAcentral
AUGUAUCAAUCUAAUCGAGCAAGAAUUAAGAAGGAAAUCCCUUCCCUCUUGCCCGGUGGUGGGCAAAAAGGCCCCCGAUCGGCCCUCUCGCGCCCUCCUUCUUGCAGCACCAUAACAGUUUGGUAUCAGGUAGCUCAGUUCCUAUCAUGUCUUCAUCGCCGCCCACCCCGUCGCUUCCGCUGCCGACCGUCACCACCGCGCCGCGGGCCAUCUACACCGUGCCGCUGCCCUCCCCGUCCGUGCCGCUGGUCGCAUCCUCCGGUGCCGCCACCGCCCAGAUGCCGGCGCCCUCCACCGCACCACUGGCCGCCGCCUACACCCAGGAGGAGAUCACCGGGGUCCUUAACGACCUCGUCACAGCCGUCUAGGGGAUCCGGCUGUACCUGGCCAGCCCCUACGGUCCACCGCCGCCCCUGCCGCCGACAGCCUCCACCGAGCUGCCGGCCCUGCCAUGGUACUCGCCGCAUCCAGGGGCCUUCGCGGCGUUCGUUGGGACGCUGCAGCCCCAGCUGCAGCUGCCGCCGCCGCCUGCCACUGCCCCGCAAUGGCCACAAUGGCAGGCGCCGGCUUCCACCGCGCCUCCAGCGCCCAUCGCCGCCCCUGCACCAUCGUGGCUGCCGUGGCAGCCGCUGCACCAGGCGGCCUUCGCCGCGCUCGCCAAGCCACUGCAGCAGCCGCUGCAGCUGCCAUCCAUCGCCACCACCGCCUAGCCCUGGCUGCAGUGGCAGCCACCGCUCCUGGCGGCCUCCAUCGCGCCCGGCGCUCCGCCACAACAGCCGGUGCCGCUGCCCGGUGCGCCACCGCCGGUCAGCUCCGGCUCCGCAUCGACCACGCCGGCUGGAGUCCCGCUUCACUAAGUCCAGUCCCUGCCGUCGCCUUCACCGCUUUCGUCUUGGAUCGCUACCCACCACGUGUCGGUGGCGGUGA